UACGAAGGGGGCUAGCGUUGCUCGGAAUCACUGGGCGUAAAGGGCGCGUAGGCGGACUCUUAAGUCGGGGGGUGAAAGCCCAGGGCUCAACCCUGGAAUUGCCUUCGAUACUGAGAGUCUUGAGUUCGGAAGAGGUUGGUGGAACUGCGAGUGUAGAGGUGAAAUUCGUAGAUAUUCGCAAGAACACCAGUGGCGGAAGGCGGCCAACUGGUCCGAUACUGACGCUGAGGCG
RNAcentral lists this ribosomal RNA (232 nucleotides) under uncultured bacterium. RNAcentral's name for it is "partial 16S ribosomal RNA". It matches the Rfam family "Bacterial small subunit ribosomal RNA", at positions 524 to 753 of the family's 1533-position model. The record is from RNAcentral.